RNAcentral lists this ribosomal RNA (253 nucleotides) under uncultured bacterium. Its description in RNAcentral is "partial 16S ribosomal RNA". It matches the Rfam family "Bacterial small subunit ribosomal RNA", at positions 524 to 776 of the family's 1533-position model. The record is from RNAcentral.
UACGUAGGUGGCAAGCGUUGUCCGGAUUUAUUGGGUUUAAAGGGUGCGUAGGUGGUCUAUUAAGUCAGUGCUGAAAUAUCCCGGCUUAACCGGGAGGGUGGCAUUGAUACUGAUGGGCUUGAGUAAAGUUGAGGUGGGCGGAAUUGACGGUGUAGCGGUGAAAUGCUUAGAUAUCGUCAAGAACACCUAUUGCGAAGGCAGCUCACUAAGCUUUAACUGACACUGAGGCACGAAAGUGUGGGGAUCAAACAGG